RNAcentral lists this long non-coding RNA (20664 nucleotides) under Panax ginseng (ginseng). Its description in RNAcentral is "long non-coding RNA (PGIN_LNC003745)". Lineage: Eukaryota; Viridiplantae; Streptophyta; Magnoliopsida; Apiales; Araliaceae. The record is from RNAcentral.
UUACUUUUUAAUUGUGUAACGCAGGCUUGGUAACUACAGGAGUUUCCGUUAUUUGAAAAGCCCUUGUUUAAACCUCUUUUCUCUCUCUCUAAACUCUAAAAAAAUGGGGAAUCCGCAACAAGUAUCUAGCCGUCCUUGGAUCCUCGAAUUGGUUCCUCUUAUGGUCGUCAUUCUUACAGUCGCUCACGUUCUCGCACUGGUAAUGCCCCUUUGAAAUUUUGCCUCUCUCUAAUAAUAUCUUCUUGUCAUUUUAAUUACUACUUACUUCAGAUCUCUCAUAUUGUCUCUGUUCUUCUUUUAAAUGUACAAUAGGUUUACUGGAUUUACAGGUUAGCUACUGAGAGACAGCCUCAAAGGAGAAAGAAGCACUAGCAGUAGCUAAAUUUACUAAUACCCAGAAGGUAUAACCUAAUUUGUUUAUUUCCUGGUCAUUAUUUUAUGGCAUAUGCAAAAUUGUAAAAGCUUCUAUUAUUAUUUGGAAUUUUUAAAGAGUUUUAACUCGUAAAAUCUGAGAGAAAUGAAAUGAAGUGUAAAAUAGUUGAACAAAAAUUUGAAAGAUUUGUCGUGGUGGUAAUUUUUUGCAAUAUACUACCCGGUGUUCCAAAAUAUAAGAUCAUUUAACAUUUUAAAGUAACUUAAGACAUUUUCAACCUCAAAACUACCUAGUGUAAUUUCAUAAUUUUUAAUGAAUCAAAAAACCUCGAAUGAAUCUAAUUCAUUAUACAAAUGGAUCUGCUGGUUCACCAAUCAUUGAUCUCAAUUUUGAGUUUGAAAAUGUCUCAAAUUGAAUUUUAAAAGUCAACAAUGACCUUAUAAUUUGGAAUGGGGGGAGUACUUAAUAUUAGGUUAUGUUAAAGUGUAUAUUUAGUUGGUUAUUUUUUAUAUACUUGGCAUUUAUUUUCUCUUUUUCCUUUCAAACAACAUUUAUUUAAGUUUCAAAUAAAAAAAUUGUUAAACACAUAGAAAGUUAAAUUCACUUGAAAUAACCUGAAAUACAUAAUAGUAGAAGGAGAAAAGCCCUGAUUAUGUCCUUCAAAGCAAUAUUGACUAUUAAUUUACUAAUACCAAGAAUGUAAAACACUAAUACAUGGAUUUUCUCUAUUAUUAUUACUAUUGCACGGGCUAGUUUGAAUAAUGGAUUGUAUAAUUUAUUAACACGGUCGUCCUCAAAAUUGAUUACAAAUGCUAUCAAACUCCACGCAAUCCAUUUUACAUCCUGAAAUGUAAACACCACAUAAAAACACAAUAUCAUAUCUUCCAAAGAUUUAUGUUGUCUUUGUUCUGGUGGUCUUUAUUUGGAUUUGCUUCCUUAGAAUUGAGUUAUUCAUCCCUAUGAAAUAAAACAGUGCACCAAAGAGUGCAAGACAAAUAUAUCAGAAGAUAUGAGACUACCAAAUAUAAAUAGCAAGAUCCCCAGAAUUUGAUACUACUGGGAAAGUCUUUGUCAAAUAAAAGAAUUUGAAUAACACUUACCUACUCACUUGCACUUUAUUUGAGGGCUAAAAUGGAAGUUGUAGAUCCUUGUUAGAUGAAAACUAAUGGAUCUUCUUUCGCCAUAAGAGUUACUGUACUGAAACCAUUUGUUUCUAUAGGUUAUCUAUCUAUAUAUAACUCCCUUAGUUCCAUUUUAUUGCCCUAUCCUUGGAGGCCCAAUACAUGAAUUUCUUCUUUUGCCUGCAGAUAAUAAAACUGUCAAACUGAGCAAUCAUAAUUAAAACCAUGUUACCAUUAUUACAUUGGCAAGCACAAUCCUCAUGGAUCUCACAACCCACAUUCUUAAGUGUUAAAAGCAUUAGAUAUGAAAUUUUAAUUAAUUCCAGAACAAAUUUGGCACACCCAAGACAACAACAUCCACCAUUACAACAUACUAACAUCUUCAAUCUCCCAGAUUAAUGUCUAGACAAUAUACCACAUUUUCUAAUAAAAGGAGAACCGUAGAAAAAUAUAAUGACCCUGAGGUUUCAACAUGAGCAAAUACAUACUCCAGUGCGUAAGAAAUCAAUCCGCUCUAAAAACCCAUUGACGGCAAGCAAAGUCAUGCAACAAAGGUAACGUAAUGAAAAGUAAUACUAAUUUGAAUGAACUGAUCACGAAUGCAUAUAAUCAUGAUUGAAAUUAUGAAAGGACAAAGAAAGGGAACCAAUUUUAAAGUAGGGGAUUCUAAAGAAAAAUAAAAAUGUAUUACUCUAAUGACCAUAAGUGGAUUAAAGAGGAAAAAUAUUUUAAAAAAGGAACUAACCUUGUUAUUGAUGAAUUUGUUGAUUGAGAUGCUAAGGUAUCACCAAAUUUGUAAUGUGAAAGUAUUUGUUUCAAGGUUGACCGAAUCAGAGACAUAUCUAUUAAGAGCUAUUCAGAUGUAAACAAACACUGCCUAAGACCACUAAAAACUCCUCUGAAAAUCAUGAGGGAAUAUGGCACACUAAAAAUGACAAUUGCUUAAAGUAAAGCCAGAGUUUGAUUUCCAUUUAUCGUUGCGUUCAUGAGAGCCUCUACAUAACUUAAACCCUAGUCAAAACACAAACCUAAAAUAAAUUGACUAACAAAAUACAAAAUAAACCCACAAAUUCACAAUUAAGGAGGAAAUAAUCAAGAAAAGUGAGGCAUAGUUUCGUUUCAAUUAUCAUUAUGGUCAUGCUUAAACCAAAAACAUACAUGAACAUAAUUGAGUUAGGGCACCUGCAACCUACAUGGAUUGUAUUACCCCGACCCUGUUGUUCCCUGAGGUAGAGUUGUUCCUGUGCCCAACCCUGACAAAUCAUAAGCAGCCUACUCCUAGAACGUAAAUUGGUCUAGUAAUCAUGGGCAAUAUCUAUCUAGCAAUAGAGCUAGAAUAAACUCUUUUCCAUUCUAAACUUUGAAAAUAAAAAAUAUAUAAUUUAUGCUUUUAAGAUAAUGCUUACUAAUAUCGUUUUUGAAUUGCUUUAAAAUUAUCAUUUUUAAUAUUGUUUAUGCUUCUAUGACUAUGCCACUGCUAUCUCACACUGUUAUCCCACACUAUCUGUUCAAGGCUUUGUUUAACUCUAUACUUGAAGUUGGUUAAAUACUCCCUCCAUUUAAAAAAAAAGUCGCAUCGCAAAAUUUUUAGGUAUUAAAGAUGUGCUUUUGUUUCAUGUUUUCUCCUAAAGAUAAUAAUAUGUUAGUUUAGUAGCAUUGACAUGAUAAUGAAAUUUUAAUGAUAAACUAUCUUUUUUUGUGUGCAAAUGGGACUCUUUUUAUGGAACCCAAUGAGUAUUAUUUAUGCUACUACGACUACAACACUGCUAUCUCACACCGUCUUUCAAGACAUUGUUUCACUCUAUACUUCAACUCUUGGGCACAAUAUCUUGCUCAGCUCUCUUCUCCAUAAAAUUAUCCGUCAUUCUUUUACAAAUUUACUAUGGAUUUUCAUCUCAAUUAUGUUGUUUUCCAAAGAAACAUUACCAUCGUAAUUUGUAUGGAUCCUCUACCUAAAGGUUACACAAUCAAUAAGGUGUACAAUGGAAAGGCUAAGGAUGAUAUAUCUUCCUUUUUAUACUUUUUUACUUUUUUCUUUCUUUCCCUUAAUUUUUGUUUAUAAAAUUAGUUGUAAAGCAACAAAUUGGAAUUUGAAUGUAGCACUAAUUCACUGAUCAAUGCAAAACAUAUAUAAGCAAAGACGGACUACAACACAACCAAACAAUCCUAAAAUCCACAAAUAUGUGACGAACAAUACUCUGAAUCAUAAUAAAUUGAUAAAAUAAACAGCAAGAUCUUUGUACUAAUAAAGAAACCUAAGAUCUAAGCUUUGUUGAUCAGACAAUUAAUUGUCUGAUCUACUGAAGAAAAUUACUAAAAACUGAAAAGAUUAAAGUUUAUUAGAACAAACAUUACAAUACAUACGUACAUAUAAAGAGAGAGAAUUGUCUUUCGCUAGUGAAAUUUAGCAGUGGCUCCGUAAAACUUUGAAUCGGAGGUCGAUCUCGUCGUCAAUCCUGUGGGAUAGAGGUAGAUAGAGCAACAAAAUCAAUGCAAAAUAUAUAUAAGCAAAGACUUGACUACAACACAACCAAACAAUCCAAAAAUCCAAAAAUAUGUGACAAACAAUAACAUAUAAAUCUGAAUCAUAAUAAAUUGACAAAUAAACAGUAAGAUCUUUGUACCAAUAAAGAAACCUAUGAUCUAACCUUUGUUGAUCAGACAAUUAAUUGUCUGAUCUACUGAAGAAAAUUACUAAAAACUGAAAAGAUUAAAGUUUAUUGGAACAAACAUUACAAUACAUAUGUAUAUAUAAAGAGAGAAUUGCCUUUUGCCAGUAAAAUUUAGCAGUGGCUCCGUAAAACUUUGAAUCGGAGGUCGAUCUCAUCGUCAAUCCCGCGGGAUAGAGGUAGAUAGAGCAACAAAAUUGGGAUGAAUUCUGGGUUGUUCAACUGUUUGAUCGAUCGAAUCUUCAACUAAAAGCAGAAAUUGUAAAAAGGUGUGGAAGAUUCAGGAACAAAGCGAAUAUAUAAUGGUAGAGAAAUUAAAAGUAUAACGGAUCAAUUUCUAAUUAACCGAGUAAACUUGAAAUUGAAAGGCACUUGUUUUUCAAAUUAAGUGAGUUGACUCACCCGUUUUUCAAAUUAAAUGGAUCGGUCUUAUUGCCUUUAUAAAUAAGAAUUGAUGUGCAGUUAUGAACACUUAUUUGUUCAUUUAUUUAUUGAGAGACCAUGUAGAUGUUUAAUAUUAUGUUUUGAAAUACGAAAAACAGAGGGAAAAAAAAGGAAAGGGAUAUGAAAAUGACAAGUACAGAAAAUCAAGAACUAUUGAAAGAUUCAUGACACUUGAUCAUUUCUUACCUUUUUCAUUUUUCAUCAUUUUUCAUAAUUUAGAGUAGGCGCCUAAUGUAAUUAUUUUUUGGAGGAUCCUCGUAUAGAUUUUUUGUUUUUUUUUGCUUGGGAGAUACAAGUGCUUUUAUUUCCACUGUGUACGUGGGUUUGCCCUCUUUUUGGUGCUUUUAUUAAAAUUAUGUACUUUUCAAACAAUAAUAAUAAUUGGAGAAGGCGAAAACAUGUUUUAUUGGAUUUACUGGAGUUCAUGAAUAAUUACAUCAAUAUGUUAUGUGAUCAUGUACUCUGAAAUUCUUGUGUAUUUUGUUUCCAUAUAGACUUCUGAAUUCCUUCAAACAAAUGAAACUAAGAACAAAUUGCUCAAUAUUCAUUGUUUUAGAACCGAAAAACCAUUGUUGAUUGAUUUUUCUACCACCAGAUUUUACUUUUUGUUGGUAAAUAUAGUUCUAUUGAUGGUUUGCAGUUAUAUAUGCUGAAUACCUUUUUGUUCUUUUCAAUCAUCCAUAUAAAUGGUAAAUUAGUUGAAAUAGACUGGCUGUAAGCUAUGUAAGCAAUAUAAACCCUUGUCUCAGUUUGGCAAGUGAUUCGUCAUAGACAACCUCUUUAUUUAUUUGUUUUGAAUUUCCUUCUUAUUUUCUUUCAUCUUUACGAGGACUUUAAAUUUGAUUAUAGUUUUCUUUCGGAUUCAUUAGGCUGUUCUCAUGAUUUUAAUUUUGAUGCAAGUGUUGAUGUCUCUAAUAGCUUUGUGUGGCAUUCUGGAAUUUGGUAUUUAAUUUGAUCAAGUGGGAAACAAAUGUUGAUUUCUGUUUUCUACUUUGUUGGGAAAAGCCUGGCUAUGCGAUGUGGUGUUAAUGGUUGCUCUGCUACGACUUUGUGGGGGUUCUGAAAUUGCUUUCAGUGUUCUUAGUCUCUUUGCUUCUUUAUUUAUAGAAGGACAAAAGCAACCAUUUAAAGAUGAAUAGUGUGUAUCCUAGGUCUAUUGCAUUUUGAGAUCCAGUUAUUUGAGAGUUGCCCAACGUAUUGAUUCCUAAUGGAGCAUAUUUUUCCUUAGGAGGUAGGAUUACUUUGAUUCAAGCUUGUUUAACUAGUCUCUCGUUGUAUUAUUUGUCUCUGUUUAGGAUCCCAGCUAGUGUUGCACAUUCCUUAGAGAAGUUGAUGAGCAAUUUUCUUUGGUCAGGGGUAGUGGAGGAGAAAAGGGAUCAUUAGGUAGGAUGGAAGGUGUAUUUGUCAAAGCAAGAUGGAGACUUGGGGUUGGGUAACUUAGUCCUUAAAAAUGUCACGUGGGUAAGUGGUGAUGCAGGAUAGAUCUAGGAUGAAGAAUUAACGAAAAAUAAACUAGACGUUUAGACCGUUAGGAUCUCUCAAGUGUAUCCACUCUACGUAUCAACACCAAGAUAGAUAAAAUACCUCUACGAUAGGAUACCUUUACGAUAUGAAUGAAAUAAUUAAUUUCAAUAUCAAUAUUCUGUAAUCUAAAUAACUUGCGAGGAUUACAUCACUAUUUAAAAGACUCAAACUCUAAUAUUAUUUGGGAGAAGGCAAAAAACACCUUUACCCGCUUGUGGUCGUUGACUUGUAAGCAAUUGGCCACUGAACUUUAAAAAUAUGCAAUUGGACCACUGUGCUUUCUAAAAAUGAAAAUUCAGGCCAUUCCGUCCAAUCGACGGACGUCAAAUAAUUACACACGUGACAUUGAGAAAAAAUCAAAAAAUUAUUAUUUUCUUAUGUGGCAAUACAAAAAAAAACCAAAAAUAAAAUCAUUGAUUAUGUGGCAAAAAACGAUUAAAAUAAUAAUAAAUUUAAAAUAAAUAAUAAUUAAUUCGUUUUAAAAUAAUUAAUUUUUAAAUAAAAUAAUUACUUUUAAAAAUAAAAAUAAAAAAAGUAAUUUUAAAAUAAUUAAUCAUUAACUUGUAAAAAAAUCAUUUUUGCCACAUUAAAAAAAUUUUGUUUUUGUUUUUAAAAAAUUAUGUUUUUAAAAACAAAAAUAGAUUUUUUUUAACUUUGUAAAAUAAAAUUCUGUUUUUAAAAAAAUGCUGUUUUUUUUAAAAAAAUAGAUUUUUUUUAUGUGGCAAAAAAUGCUGUUUUUAAACCGGAAUGAUUAAUAAUUAAUUUUAAAAAUAAAAAUAAAAUAAUCAUUUUACAAGUUAAUAAUUAAUUAUUAAUUCCAAAUAUUUAUAUUAAUUUUAUUAUUUUAUUUUAAAAUUAAUUAAUUUAUUUUUAUUUUUAAAAUUAAUUUUUUUAUUUUUAUUUUUAAAAUUAAUUAAUUUAUUUUUAUUUUUAAAAUUAAUUUUUUUAUUUUUAUUUUUAAAAUUAAUUAUUAUAUUUAAAAAUUAAUUAUUUUGAAAUGAAUUAAUUAUUAUUUAUUUUAAUUUUAUUAUUAUUUUAAUCAUUUUUUGCCACAUAAUCAAUGAUUUUAUUUUUGAUUUUUUUUGUAUUGCCACAUAAGAAAAUAAUAAAUUUUUAUUUUUUUUCCAAUGCCACGUGUGAUUAUUUGACGUCCGUCCAAGAAAUUGGACGGAAUGACCUGAAUUUUUAUUUUUAGAAAGCACAGUGGUCCAAUUGCAUAUUUUUAAAGUUUAGUGGCCAAUUGCUUACAUGUCAACGACCAUAGGCGGGUAAAGAUGCUUUUUGCCAUUUGGAGAAUAAUAAAAUACUAAACGACUUAAAUACCCUUAUUAAUAAUUCCUAAUCACUAAUUAAUAUCCUAAUCCCCACUAAUAAAUAAAAUAUAUAAAUCACAUCAACUUUUAUAUUAAACAUAAUAAAAACUCCAAAAUUAAUAAAUAUAAAAAUUCUCUUCUUUGUUCUUGACUGGAGUUCCCAUCAUUCUCCUCUUGUUGGAGAAAACUCGACCUCGAGUUCUAUAAUAUGAGAGAAUAAGCAAUGAACUCCUCUGCAAUGGAAGAACAUUUUGGAACACCUUUGGCAACAUCACCACGAGGUAAGACUCAAAAAUUUUUGGAAAGAGAAUUGAUGACAGCAUCGCUUUCGUAUUCAAAGGUGCUGAAAAUCAGCUUUCUGGAGCAUCGAAGUUAACAAUGUCAACUUGGAUUGGAUCAACUUCUCGAAUCGUCCUUUCCUCGUUAACGAACAACUCAAAAGCAACAUUAGAUGUUUCCUCAAUUUGUUCAUCAUACAUAAUCUCUGGUUUAACUUUUGGAACUUCAAGAAUUUCCAUAGAUACGUCACAACUGUGUAGCCCCAAAAUUUGGAACAUCCACUUUUUCUUUCUCUUGCUCUGCUUGAAGAUGUGCCCGCAAUUUAAUAAUGCCUUCUUUUAUGGAAGAUAUGUCAUUUUUUAAUAAAGAACAUAUAGAAAUCACUCUGUGUAGCUGAUGUGAUAAAAAUAUAUAACUGCAAGUGCACAGUAUCGAAUUGAAGAACUGGCAAGUAUAGGUCGAACCCACAGAGACUAGAUUAAUUUUAAUGUAUCCUUAAUAUCAAUUUUAGGUGAAUUAGAAAUAAAGAUUGAGAAUUAAUUAACUAUAAUUAAACUAACUAAUAACAAGGAAGUAAUCUAGGAAUCCGAAUCCAUUAAACAAUAAACAUAACAAACAAUCCAAUCUUAUCUAUUUUUAUAACUUAACUAUGAUUUUGAUCUCCCUUCCCUUUAAUUUAGUAAUUUUACAAUUAACGUGGGCAAGCGUAGACUAUGAAAAUUUAAGGAUUAAUUAUAACCUAUCAAAACUUCUUCGAGCAAGAAUGAAUUAUGAAAAACUCAUUAUCUUAACAAUAAUUUAUCAAAAUCUCUUAAUUAAUUUAAAAUCAUAUAAGAGUUAUAAAAUGAUGAUAUUUCAAUAACGAAACAUGAAUGCGAAAUUAAUUAAACAUAGAAGCAUAAAUAAUAUAAGAUAUGAAAAAUAUUAUCAUGAAUAGUUAUUUAAUUUCAUCUUCACCCUAGAUAUAAAAAAAUUUAGCUAGACAUGAAAAAUAAAUUAACUAACUAAAAUAAAGAAGAAAUAGAAAUAAAAUAAGAAAACUCCUUUUAAUUAACGAUCAUCCAACAAGUGUACAAUGAAAAAGUAAUUUAAUCUACUCUUAAUCUAAACUAAUCUAAUACAAUACAAUACUCCCCAAUACUCUCCAUUCUUUCUAAAACAAGAGACCUAUUUAUAGGGAAAAUAAAGACCAAAAGACAAUUUGCACCCCAAACUUUACACCCAUGUUGACUUUAGCACCCCAAACCGAAAAAAGUGUCUAAGUACACCCCAAACUUCAAUUAAACGUAACAAAAUACACACUUUCCUAACUUAACCGGUCAAAAGUGACCGGCUACGGUACACGUGGAUCUGAAAGGGUAUUUAAGUCUUUUCCAUAUCUUCUUCAUCAUUAGUUAAUUCCUCCCCUGUUUCUUCACUAAACCGAACUAAACCAAUUUCCUCUGUUUCUCCGGUUUAAGUCAAUUGCUACCAAUUUCAGCCACAAUCAUCCCACCCAAUGAAACACAAUCUUCUUCUUUGUGUUGGAUCUGAAAAGGGGCAUAUGAAUGAAACACAACAACCACCACAAAAACACCGCAUCACAACCUUUCAUCAACACUGCAACACCACCUCUUCCCACAAUUCCACAAUUAGUGGCUAAGAAGAUAAUUACUCUUUGAUUUCUCUACACCAAGAAAAAGAGAGAUACAAAUAGUAGAAAAGCUGGCGGUGCUGGCCAGAUUCGCGGUGCUUCUGGGAGCCAUGAUCGCCGCCCUUAUCUAUUCUCCUCCUGAUUACUCUUCCAAAAAGCGGCAGCAGCCUUCUUCAUCUCCCUCCAAUGGUUCGUUUCGUAAUUUGACCUUUCUCUUUCAUUUUAUGUAAUUAAUUUGAUUAGUGCUUCUUUGCGUGUUAUUUUGCUGGCAAAUUAUAGUGUUGCGCUACAAGUUUUCUAGAUCUAGGGCUAGAUUGUUGUAUUUGCAUCUGUAAUUCGUAGUUUUGAAUUUUGAUUGAAGUGGUUAUGGACAUGUAAAAUUAUGUGCUGAGCUUGUUUGUUGAAGAGUGAAGUUGGACAGGGACCAGGCUAGAAUUGCAUUCAUUUAGAUUUGAAACAACACUACGAUAAGUCAAUGAAAGGGAGGUUUUUUUCUUAUGCUCCAAUUCCACACAAGCCUUGCAUUUCUUUUGUACCGUAGUGCUCAUCAGAUUUAGCCCACCAGGGUCUCUUCUUCUUCGAGGGUGAAGAGGCUGGAGUGAGGGGAGGAGAGAGAGAGGAGGGCAGAGGAGAGGAGAGGAUGGUUGAGGUGGAGAAGUCGAAGGGGGUGGUGUAUGGGUGAGUUGACUCAAUGUAGGAGUCAGAGAGAGAGAAAGCAGUGGAUUGUGUGAAAUAAAUAUAAACUACCAAACUUACCCCUCUGUAAUAAACAUUACAGCUUUAGCCGGUCACUUUUGACCGGUUAAUUGAGUAAAGUGUGUAUUUUAUUAUGUUUAAUUGAAGUUUGGGGUGUACUUAGAUACCUUUUUCGGUUUGGGGUGCAAAAGUCAACACGAGUGUAAAGUUUGGGGUGCAAAUUGUCUUUUAGUUGAAAAUAAAUUGUCCUAAUUUAGAUUCAUUGAAUAUGGUCUCUUUUGUUCCCUUUUAUCCUUUUCGUUCCUUAUUGGCUUCAAUCUCUACAUGGUAAUAUCCCAAGAAUCCUUUUCCAUCUUUAAAAUCUAGACUAAAAGACAAAUUGCAUCCCAAACUUUACACCCAUGUUGACUUUUGCACCCCAAACUGAAAAAGUGUCUAAGUACACCCCAAAUUUCAAUUACACCUAACAAAAAGCACACUUUCUUCACUUAAUCGGUCAAAAGUGACCGGCUAAGACUGUAAUGUUUAUUACAUAGGGGUAAACUUGGUACUUUACAUUUAUUUUACACAAUCCCCCUUCUCUCUCUUUGUUAAAUCCACUCCUACACUGAGUCAACUCACACAUACCCGAACCACCGGAAAGCCAGCUCCGCCGCCACACCAACACCGUCCAUCGCCUCCCUAUCCACCACCAAAACCGGGUCCACCACCUGGUGCAGCAACCCCAUCUGUAUUUUAGGAACCACCAAAUCAGCCAACGCCAUCUCCCUUUUCUCUCUCCUCUGGUCCACAACUCUCAUCCCGUUAUCAGCUCCAACAAAAUUACCCCAAAACUAUAAACGUCACUCUUCUCCGUUAGACUAAAUGACCGAUAAUAGUCCGGAUCCAAAUAUCUCGGCGUCCCCUGUGGUCCCGUCCAUACACAAUCAGAACUCACCAUUGUGGUGGUUGUAAUUUCUUGGCAAAUCAGCAGCCUGGAAAGUCCAAAAUCUCCAACUUUCACUCAUAUCUCUCUCCACAAAAAUAUUUGAAGAUGUUACAUCCCUAUGGACAAUUGACGGCAUCACUGAGAAAUGUAGGCAUUCAAUCGCCAAUGCUGUUUGCAGUGCUAUUUCAACUCUAAUGCCCCAAGUUAAUGACCCUUUUUUGUACAAACUUUUUGUGCCAUGGAGAUGGUCGGCUAGAGUGCCAUUGGGGACAUAAUCAUAGACUAAUAGUAACCCCCUUGGGUCGCUACAAUACCCAUGAAGCUUGACUAGAUUUGGGUGGUUAAUUGAAGAGAGAAUCAAGAUUUCAUUGCAAAAUGACUUGGCAGAAAAGGCUUUGGAGCUUGUUGGGUGCUGCUUGUGAAGGUGUUUUACUACGACAAUGCGACCAUCUUGGAGUUGUCCUAGAAAGACUGACCCGAACCCACCGUCCCCAAUUUUGCGUUUUGGGUCGAAAUGAUUGGUGGAGGAGUCAAGUUCCUCGUAGGUGAAUACAGGUUGGAGCACGCAGAUAAAAACAAAAAUGAAGGAGAAAACUGCGACCCAAUUGGGGGUAAAGGUUUCUUGGCGAAUUAGGGGUUGUGAGAAUCGAGGUGUGGAUUUGAAACAAAUAAAAUGUUUGUUUGGGUCAGUUGAAUUGAACCCACAAACUCCAUUGCAGGCCUGGGAAGUCUUGCAAGUAGAAAAGUAACUAUCUCGGUCUUUAUCUUCAUCCCAAUCGACCUCAAUGCCCAAUUUCAAGAAAUUGUCAAGAUAUCCCAAAACGUCAGCUUGGCAGCCCUGUUGAGAGACUUAGUGGCGCGUAGAUCCACAAUCGUGUACAAUUUGAAGUAGGUUUUUAAUGAGCUUGCAUGCCCAUGAACAGUGAUUGCAGUUUGGGAGAUUUGGAGGGGGGCAGGGUCUGAGUUGGGAAAGGCGAGAGCAAGAUGAGUCAGAGACUCGAAAUGGAGACGCAGAGAGAUUGAUGGAGAGAUUGGGAAUGGAAAAGACAGAGUUUUUAGGAGAAAUGCAAUUAUGCUGCUGAUGAAGAGAAGUGGUGGGAGGUUGAGCGGAGAGAAGCAAAGAGGUGGAGUUGGGUUCAAAAUGGAGGAGAGAGUAAGGAUGAUGAUGAAUUGGAGAAGAUAACAACGAAAAGACUUAAACACCCUUCAGAUCCACACGUGUCUUAGCCAGUCACUUUUGACCGGUUAAGUGAAGAAAAUGUGUUUUUUGUUAGGUGUAAUUGAAAUUUGGGGUGUAUUUAGACACUUUUUUCGGUUUGGGGUGCAAAAUACAACAUGAGUGUAAAGUUUGGGGUGCAAAUUGUCUUUUAGUCUAAAAUCUAGAAUAAUUAUCUUUUACUUAUUUAUCAAUAUAAAUAAGAUAAAUCCAAUAUUAUUCCAGCUCUUUCCUUUUUGUUGUAGGAUUCUUCUUGCCUCUUUCCUUUCAUGAAUAAGAGCAUUAAAUAUUGAUUGGUCACUAAGAUUUUAACUUUAUUACAACAAAUAUUAAAUCAUACAAAAUAAAAUAAAACAUAUUAAAUUAAUAAAAUAAUAUAAUUAAAAGGACAAAAUUAGGGAUAUUAAAAUGUAAGAAUUAUGUGUCUAUCGAAUACCACCAUACCUAGUUUUUGCUCGUCCUCGAGUAAAAUAAAAAGAAAACAAAAAUUAUACUACCCUAUUUUCGUAGGAAACACGAUUGCACUUGGCAUGUACAACAAGCCUUUAAACCCCAAGGUUACCCCAAGUGGACGAGUUGCGUCUCGUGAUGGUUUGCAGUGAAUAUACCCACAAUAUUCAAAAUUUAAAAUAAAAUCCUUUUGAGUUUAACUAAUUAUGAAAUCGAAAGAAAACUUCUAAAGCAAGAUUAAAUUCAAAAAUACACUCACCUUGUCAAAAAUAUUCUAUCUUUAUUCUAGACACCAUCCUUCAUAAAAUUAAUUUCAUGUGAUGUAACUUUUGGUAUGGAUUUACAAUCAAGUAAACUUAUAUUUCUUUUUCUUCUUUUUUCCCUUUUUUUCCAUUUCUUUUAUCUUUGAAUUUUUUUUGACUUGUGCAAUGUCUCAUUUUCUUUGGCUUUUUAGAGAUACCCAUGUAGCAAGCGUUGGACCAAUGACUCUCAAACCAGUUGUCUUUUAGAGCACUAGGUGUAAAGAUACCCCUGAGGAUUUACUAACUCUAGUAACAAAUGCCACAAAACUAGACUAGUUAAGCUGCUUAUAUCCAUCACACUUUUUAGCGUGAAUAUCGAUGCUUCCUGAUGCUUGGAUACCUAAUUAUUUCGUUCAAUGGACAUUGAAGCAGUUAUUUCUUUUUUUCUAACAUUUUUUUUGAAAUUGCUCAAAUCAUAGUUUAUAUCCAUAACUAAGGAGGUCUAGGAAAUUAAAAAUAGUUAGAAUUUUCAUUAGAAUUAUAUUUACAAUUGACAUCGAAAAUUGUACCUUGUAUGCGGGGCAUAUAUUCUGUAAGAAAAUGUGGUGAGAAAGAAAACAAAUGUACAUAUCUACGAAUUUCAUAAAUCCUAAAAAGUAUGUGGUUAUAAAUGAAUGAUACAAAUGGUUAAGUGAGUGUGGUCUUUCAUGAUUUUCAGGAGGUCUAGGAAAUUAAAAAUAGUCAGAAUUUUCAUCAGAAUUAUAUUUACAAUUGACAUCGGGAACACUUUCACUAACAUGUUCAAAAGGUGGAAGAAUUGGUUCAAAUACUUAUUCUAGUUUAGUUGACUUAUGUGUAGUGGCUCUCAACAUCUCAUUGACCUUAAGUAUUCAAAUUUAUCCCAAUUUUGGUCAAUGUGAUUUAAGAAAAAAUUAAUUGGAUCUUUUUAAAUCAAGAGUGUAUUUUCAAUUAUUUCUUGGGUCAUGGACAACUCUCGGAUCAUGUUUUACUUUAAUGUGUUGGUAGGUGAUUUUUUAGGAAUAAGUCUUUCAGGGUAUGGAGCUUUAGGCUUAUAGACUUUUUUCAACUGACUUAUUAAAUGUAACAUGAUCAAUUUUAGGCAUAGACUCAUAAUUUUUAGGCUUCUCAAAUUCGCUUGGCUCAAACUGUAUAGAAUUGAAUACAAAAUUUUUAUUUUCCUCGUCAUUUCCACAACCAGAUUUUCAUCAUUAACCUCAGAGCUACUAGAAAAUUCAUUCACCUCUUGUUCAUUUAUUUUGGUGCCUAAUCGACUUAUUUGAAUUUCUAGACGAGAUAUAGCUUGAUCCAUGCUAAAUUGAUUUUCCAUUAAAACUUCUAUAGUUUUCUCCAAGGCACUAAGUCUUUCCUCUCCUUCAUUUGAUAAUUGUUUGCCGAUUUCUAUAAAACAAUUUCACGCAAGUAUACACGAUCGAUUAUGAAAUAUAGGGCAAGAAGAGUAUCGUUCCCAUGAAGAGUGAAUAUAACUUCCAAUUCCUAAUUACUAACUAUGCAUCCACUUCAUUCUAUUUAGACAAAUUAAUUAAUAACUACUAAAUAAUCACUAAAAAUAAUGAAUAUGAAUUAUAUAAAUGAAAACAUUAAGGAAUUCAAUUUCCCCCGAUGAAUCAUAAAGAUAACCUUAUUAAUAUUGUAUUGAAUUGAUUACUUGGAAUUUCCAAUGAAAAAUCACUAAUAAUUAAUAUAAUUAUUUUCCAAAUAAUUACAUUGCACGCUUAUUAUUAUUAAUUCACUAUAUUCCUAUGAGAUUCAUUAAGAUUCAUUUUCUUGAUAUUGCUUGUGGCAUCUAUCCUGAAUGCUAAGAAGAAUUAAUAUUCACAAGUUGCUAUAGCUAGAUCUUAAUUUAGACUCCAUUUAUCAGAUUUCAUCUAAAUCCAUCCCAUAAAUUGUUGAUUAGGCAAUUAUAACAACCAUAACAAAAUAUAAUAAACAAUCCCAAUAUAAAUAAUCAAUUCAAUAGGUAAUAAAAAUAAAUAUUAAAUCAAAUCAUCAUCGGGUUCCAUUGAUUUCCUAAUUAAAGAAUUAGUUCAUAACUGAAAUUAAAAACAAUAAUAAAUCAUUCCCAACCAUUCUCAAAAUACAAAAAUUAAGACUUAGAGAAGAAAGAAGAAACUCUGUAAAAGUCUCUGCCUCCUUUUCCAGCUCUUUUCUCCUGCUGUUGAAAAUACUCUGGAAACCCUUAUUUUCCUACGUACUAUUCCCUCUCAUUACUCUGAAUAAUGAAUCCCCCCCUUAAUUUAGUCUUCUACUAAUAGUUUAUAACAAAAGUGUCCAACCAUGCAUGAAUGAGUGUGAACCAUUGCAAUGCAACCUUUUUAGGAGUUUGAGAACCUCCAAACUUCAAUAACAAUCCCAGCUAUAAUCAGAAAAAAAACAGCUCAUUUUCUAUCGGGCGCGUGGUCUCAUGCGCGCCUGUAAUUUACUCUAGUGCCGCGGCUUCCCUUAGUGCGCGCCGCGACUUCCCUUGCUUUCCGGCCGUGGCUCCAAGUCUCCUGUUUGGUCCUUUGAUUUCCUAGCUCUUCUUUGUCUUUAUGCCUUGUUUGGAAUGGUCAUGCCUCCACUCAAUUGAUCUUUAUUCUUGCAGCUAAGUCCAGGCUAAACAAUAUUUUGCAAUAUUCACACUAAAACUAGUAUCCAUUAUUAGCAUAAACGACUAAAAUGCAAUAAAAUAAUACUAAAGUCCUUAAGAACAAGCAAAAUAAUUCAGUUAAAACUACUCAAUUCAUAGAUAUAAAAUCUACUCAUCAAUAAUUCUUGUGGAUAUUGAGGUUCUGGAUCCGAAUAUGGAUAUGGAUAUGAACUUAGAUAAGGAUUUUCAUAAGUUUGGAAAAAAUUGAUUUACUUGGUGUGCAUUAAAAUUUUCAUAAGGUUCUUGAUGUCAAGCAAAAUUAUUAUUCCAAGUAUAAUAAGAGUUCAUUUUUCCACUAAUCACAAAACAAAUACUCAACUAACCUCGAAAGUCGCACAGAAAAAAUAUAAAUAAUAAAAUAAAAUAAAUAAAUAAAUCCUAAUUCUACAGUUAACCUAAAUAAAAUCUAGACAACUCCUAGUUGUUCCAAGGUGCACCGCAAGGUCUAUCAAAUUCGAAAUUAAUCACACCACUAGUCAGGUAAGUGUAAGAAAGGUGAUGAUAGACUCCACGACACGUUUGCGUGAGGUGGUCGUCGCCCGGCUCGUUUCUAGCACAGUUGAUAGAGUGGAACUCUCUCGACACCUCAACCCAACGUCUAUAUUGAGACGAGAACCUUGGUACAAUUGAUCAAGUAAUGAAGUUUGCAUUGAAUGGAACACUAACGACACCUAAACCCCGUGUUUAUAAUGAAACAGGAACCUCAGUACAAUUGACGAUUGAUGCGGUAGAAGACGCUACACACAACUAUGAAUUGUUGUAUGACAAGUUAAAUUGAAUCUCAAAGAAAAAUUAAGAAAAUAACUUGGGAAUUUUUCAAAGAACUAAAAGUUGAGAAUAAUUCUCACAUGAAAUUGAUGAAUCUUAAUAUUAUUGAAUCUUCUAUGUAUUACAUUCAUAAAGCAUAUUUAUACUAGCUAAGAAACCCUAGAAUCCAAUAAGGAAUCAAUAAUAUGAUUUGGAAUUAAAAUCCAGUAUUCUAAAUACAUUAAAAUUAUGAAAGAUAUGGAAAAUCCCUAAAAGAUAUGAAAGAAAUCUGGUAGAAGAAGAAAAUCUGGUCAAAAAUGCGUCGUCUCGAAAAAAAAACGUGCCUGAAGUUCUGUCGCCCUGGCGUGGGGCGCACUACUCUUACAAAAACUCAAACUCUCCGGCACGGGGCACACUGCUCUUUGCAGAGACUCUGAUGCUCUAGCACGGGCAACACUUGUUUCCGUAUUAAGCUGGCGCGGGGCGCGCAUGCUAGUAAAAAAACUCUUUUUCAAUUCUUGAGGCCCUUGACUUGGAUCAAACAUUUCUAUCAUAUUCAUGAGCUUAGACUCCAACUCCAAAGUCUUCAAACUUAUCCCUUCAUCACUCCAAGUUCCUUGAAUAAGUCCGUUAAGUCCUUUAAAACGUUUAGCUCGAGAUCUCGUCACGGGUCCCAUUGGCACCUGUACCGAAUCCGAUCCUUGGUUGCCAAUCAUUCUUGAGCUAGGGAUGUCCUCAUCAUUCCUCUCCUCUUAAGAAGGAUUUGUCCUCAAAUUAUCACCUACAUCAAACGGACUUAGAUCAGUAACAUUGAAUGUUGCACUAACAUUAUACUCACCAGGCAAAUUCAAUUUGUAAGCAUUGUCAUUAAUGCGCUUAAGAACUUGAAAUGGACCAUCUCCUCUAGGAAGCAAUUUAGAUCUCCUUUGAGCCAGAAAUCUUUCUUUCCGCAUAUGCAGCCAAACCCAAUCUCCAGGUUCAAAGAUCAUUUGACGCCGACCCUUAUUAGCUUGUUUCGUAUAUUGCUUCGUCCUCUCAAUGUUGAAUCUCGCCUUCUCAUGUAUCUGCUUAACAAAUUCAGACUUUUUCUUUCCAUCCAUGUUAGUAAAUUCAGAAAUAGAUAAUGACGAUAAAUCCAAUGGAGUUAAAGGAUUAAUAUCAUAAACAAUUUCAAAUGGUGAAACUUUAGUAGUAGAAUGAACUGAACGAUUAUAAGAAAACUCAACACGUGGUAAACAUUCUUCCCAAUGACUAAUAUUCUUUUUAAUGAUAGUCCUUAACAAAACAAACAAAGUUCUAUUUACUACUUUAGUUUGACCAUCAGUUUGUGGAUGACAAGUAGUAGAAAAUAACAGUUUAGUUCUCAAUUUACACCACAAAGUCUUCCAAAAAUAGCUAGAACUCUUAGCAUCUCGAUCAGAAAUAAUUGUUCUAGGCAUAUUAUGCAAACGUAGAACUUCCUUAAAGAAUAAAUCAACUAUAUGGGAUGUAUCAUCAGUUUUUGUGACAUGGAAUAAAAUGUCCCAUCUUUGAAAAUCUGUCCACAAUCACAAAUAUAGGGUUAUGACCAUGCUUAGACUUAGGUAAAAUCAACACAAAGUCUAUUGACAAAGUAAUUUCGUAUCAAGAGUAUUCAACAAUACAUACCUACGAGACAAAGCAUCUGCUACGACAUUCUCUUUACCUUGUUUAUAUCGAACAUAUGGGAAUGUCUCGAUAAAUUCCAUCCAUCGCGUAUUUCUCUUGUUCAACUUGUGCUGACCCUUCAAAUAUUUCAAUUACUCAUGAUCGGGGCCAAAGGUAAUUUUGCCACGUCUCCAAUGCUCUAACCAAUGCGUAUAACUUGUCGUAGGUAGGAUAGUUCAAGGCUGCCCCACUCAAUUUUUCACUGAAAUACGCCAUUGGUUUUCCUUCUUGUAUCAAAACAGCUCCUAUUCCCAAACUUGAAGCAUCACACUCAAUUUCAAAAGUUUUAGCAAAGUUAGGCAGAAUAAGUAAAGGCGCAUUAGUCAAUUUGUCUUUAAUCAAUUUAAAUGUCUUUUCCUGUUUCUCACCCCACUUAAAGCCCACACUUUUCUUGAUAACCUCAGUUAAUGGUGCUGUAAUUUCGUUGAAAUUCCGAACAAAGCGCCGAUAUAAACUUGCAAGUCCGUUUAAGCUUCGUACUUUGACUCAUAUUUGUCGGAGUCGACCAAUCUCGGAUUGCACGUAUUUUUCUCUCAUCAACUUGGACUCCCUAUGAACUCACAACAAAGCCAAGAAAAACAAUUCUAUCCGAACAAAACAUGCAUUUUCCCAUGUUAGCAAACAACUUUUCCAUUCUAAGUAUACAGAUUUUAAAUGCAUUGCAUGCUCUUCCAAGUUUUUUCUAUAAAUUAAGAUGUUAUCAAAAUAAACAACGACAAGUUUCCCUAUGAAUGGACGCAAUACAUAUUCAUUAGACGCAUGAAAGUGUUGGGUGCAUUAGUUAAACCAAAAGGUAACACUAACCACUUAUAAAGACUAUUUAGUUUUAAAUGAUGUUUUCCAUUCAUCACUUUCUUGCAAUUUUAUUUUGAUGAUAAAUCAAUUUUAGAAAAUAUACAUGAUCCAUAUUCAUAAUGCAAGUUGUAGCAUAAUUCAAGUCAAAAUGGAUAAUUUUAUUAUAGUUGUAAUUUUUUGAACUUGUACCAACUUCAAAUUAUAUAAAUGAUGAUACAUUUGUAAUAUUUAGUUUAAUUCAGUAUAAUUUUUAAAUUUAUGUUUAGUUUCUUAAGUUUUAAUAUUGAAUUGAAUUCUUGAAAUUUUAAAUUUUAUUAUUGAAUUGAAUUCUUGAAAUUUUAAAUUUUAUUAUUUAAUAGCAAUCUUGUUUAUGAAUAUAACUAAUACAUUAAAGAUAUGUUUGAACUUUGAACAAUUGUGUGCUUGUGUUUGAACUUUGAUAUUGGCAAUAUAGAUAUAUGUUUGAACUUUAAACAAAGACAUUUAUUAUCUUUAUUAUAGAUUGUUUUGCUUUAUAUUAUUGUUUUGUUUAGAUAAAUGUAAGAUAAAAUAUUAAAAUUGACUUAAAAUAAAAAAUCCCGCCUAGGCCUCCUAGGCGCUAGGCCCCUCCCGGCCUCCCACCUCCCGCCAAGCGCCUUUUAGAACAUUGCAAAAAACAUGCUUGGGAUUAGACUAUUUGUCUUAAUUUAAAACUAUUUCGGAUUAUUUAAUCAGUUGACGAGAGACUAUUAGUCCUUAAAUGUGUGGGACUAUUAGUUCAAUAAAGUCAUUUAAUAGCUUAAAAUGGAGGGACUAUUAAUAUCAUAUUUAUGAGGGAUUAUAUAAUCCCUCAUAAAUAGUCUUAUUAAUGACAAAAAAUAGUCCACAUGACUAUUUAAAUGACUAUUAAUCCCAUAUCAUGGAAUACAAUAGUUUGAAGUAUUAAAUUAAGACGAAUUAGUUCAAUCCCAAACAUGUUUUUUGCAAAUAAACAUAGCCUUGAUGCAUGUACGCUAAACUUAGAUUAUCCGACCAGUUGUUAAUCUAUCCUAUUUUCAUAAUUUUAAAAUUCCCCCGUGUGAAAUUCUAUCGACUUCUGUUAGCAAUUUAGGCACAUGAAGUAAUUAACAUCUAAUGUUAUUAAGUUUUUUUAUUUCUUCAGAGAAUACUUGAUCCAACAUUGGGUUUUAUUGACAGAGGCAAGGUUCUGAUACACGGUUCUUGUAAGAUAUCAUAACCAUUCAUCCCUACCUCGUAAUUGCUUAUGUUAAACUUUUUUCACGCAAGUUCUAUGUUAUUAUGCAUAAUACUAUGAAAUGUUUCUGUAGAUCCCGGUUGUAAUGGUGGUUGUAGGUAUAGUUUGCAUGGGCGAAUUGAACGUGCUAAUUUGAAACAUGUUUCAAAUAUUGAAAUUUGAGCAUUGAAGAAUUUGGUUUAAGCAUAUUGUUUUUUAAAGGCAGGUUAAAUCUAGAGUGAAUUGCUAACAUGAUUUAAACAUCCCUCGGAUGGUCACCAACCCCCUUUCUCCUUCUUUUUCUUAUUUGUAGUGUUAUUAUUUUCAUAUGUAGGCAUUCUGAAGACAAGUUGAGAAGACAAAGCUACCACUUAACAUUUUAAAGGGAGAAUAAAUUGCUGUAUUUCUGUUUUGAGGAAGUAGAUGACACUUGUUGUUGAAAUCCUUUUAUCUUUAAAAAAUUGAUGUUUUCAAAAGUAAAAUUUAAUAUUUUCAGAAGAUUUUUCUCGUAUUAAUGUGGGUUAUAUUUACUCUCUAUGUGAGAAGUCGUUAUGUGAGAGAGAUCUUGUAGAAUUAUGACUUGUGGAAAUAUUAAUUUUCUAUCACAUUAAUUUGACCUCCACUCAUUAUGUUUUACUUAAUUUAAGAAGUAAAACAAAUUUCUCAC